Molecule: ribosomal RNA, 312 nt
Filed under: uncultured Hyphomicrobiales bacterium
Lineage: Bacteria; Pseudomonadati; Pseudomonadota; Alphaproteobacteria; Hyphomicrobiales
Description: bacterial SSU rRNA
Rfam family: Bacterial small subunit ribosomal RNA
Source: RNAcentral
UGGCUCAGAACGAACGCUGGCGGCAGGCCUAACACAUGCAAGUCGAGCGGCCGUAGCAAUACGGCAGCGGCAGACGGGAGAGUAACACGUGGGAACGCGCCCUUCGGUCCGGGAUAACCCAGGGAAACUUGGGCUAAUACCGGAUACGUCCGUAAGGAGAAAGAUUUAUCGCUGAAGGAUCGGCCCGCGUCUGAUUAGCUAGUUGGUGGGGUAAUGGCCCACCAAGGCGACGAUCAGUAGCUGGUCUGAGAGGAUGAUCAGCCUCACUGGGACUGAGACACGGCCCAGAGUCCUACGGGAGGCAGCAGUGGG